Pteronotus mesoamericanus is the source of this 163-nucleotide small nuclear RNA. RefSeq annotates it as U1 spliceosomal RNA. The record is from RefSeq and is a predicted model, not a curated record. The transcript has a single exon. Lineage: Eukaryota; Metazoa; Chordata; Mammalia; Chiroptera; Mormoopidae.
AUACCUACCUGGCAGGAGACAUACCAUGAUCACAAAGGUAGUUUUCCCAGGGCAAGGCUUAUGCAUUGAGCUCCAGAUGUGCUGACCCUGCGAGUUCCUCAAAUGUGGGAAAUUUGACUGCAUCAUUUGUGGUAGUGGGGGACUGUGUUCAUGCUCUCCCCUG